UCGGAGCGGGGGAACGCCGUGCCCACGUACGGCGCACGUACACGGAGCACUACCCGGCGCACGCGCGCGGGGCACGUAACAUCCUCGCCCCCCCCGCCCCGCGCGGCGCCUACGCGGCAGGCGACAGGUGCGCGCGCACCUGCGCGGAGGGUCCGGAGCCUUCAUCCCUAGAGCGCGCACUGGGUGCUCCACGACCCACCUGAAGGGUGGCCAGUGGCUCUCGGGUCUCUCCUUUAACCAGGAUGGAGUUUGGCGAGAGAUUUACAGAACCGGGAUUACCUUCCCAACUAGAUCGGACCCGCCUAGCAAAUGGCCUCAAGGUCUUGCGGAAAAGACCGCGUCCAGUGGAGAUCAAUCCCGGGCACUGGUGUUUGUCAGCUGCCUUUUGACCUUGGUCAAGUUACGCACCUUCUCACAGCAUCAGCUGGUUAAUGGAGAAAAUGGAAUUAGUAUAAGAAGUGCGUGGGCCUUCCACCAUCGCGGCCUCUCCCUUUGCCGAGCACAGGCUCCAGACGCGCAGGCUCAGUAGUUGUGGCUCACGGGCCUAGUCGCUCCGCGGCAUGCGGGAUCCUCCCAGACCUGGGCCCGAACCCGUGUCCCCUGCAUCAGCAGGCAGACUCUCAACCACUGCGCCACCAGAGAAGCCCCUGUAUAAUUUUUGAAUGGAGACUCGAGGCAAAGUUGGUUCAGAGGCACUGAUCCGAGGAGACCUUCUGUGCUCAUCAGCUCCAGGACCAGCUCAGGAUAGACUUAUGAAGUCUCUGCCUGUCCUAUUCCCAUAGAUUUUCCUCUAAUAGACAACUAAACAAGCAGACGGACCUCAGGGGGAAAAAAAAAUGUUAGGAGGCUAGAAAAAGAUUUCACUAAGGAGCAGUUCAAAUCUGAUCAGAUAACAGAAGGAUCCCUUGAGACUUUAUUCUGAGGAAAAGAAAGUAAAACCCAACGUGAAGGAUUUCAACAAAAUGUUGAAACUCAAUUGAACAUCAUUUUACCUCCCCACUCCAGGCAUGCUGGCCUUAACCAGGAGAAGAUGCAAGAGGUUUCAGCUGUCCAGACUAGGAAGUUGCAGGUCCCAUCUGCAGCUGUGAGGAUCUGAACUCAAUCUUGGUGGAAACUUCACUUCUGUCAAUGACCUUCAAACGGCAACCACCAGGAGCACACUGUGGGGAGAGGCGGUCCACCAAGGGCCCUGGGUGUCCUUGCUUGUUCUUACUGAGGGUGCCAGACUGCAAGGCUUAUCCAUCUCCUGAUUAUAAACAGUUGCUGUAUGAAGUUGUAGAGGCAACUAAAUGUCAAGGUAACCUCAGACUCCCGCUCAACCCCCAGGCAAGGGGGACUGGUUUAAUGGCAUCUUGCUGUAACCUUUGCUAUUGCUCAAAAAAUGCGGGACCCUUAGCCCCAGGUUCUUUUACCGUAAAGGAACCCACUGAAUAUACUGGUGUCAUCUGGCCCUGCACAUCUCCCUGUUAAAAUUGGGGCUUAGGAAACCAGUGCAAAUACGCUGACACUCUAGCCACUGUUUUCAGUAAUAAAGUCCUUCAUCUCUGA
Molecule: long non-coding RNA, 1548 nt
Organism: Physeter macrocephalus (sperm whale)
Lineage: Eukaryota; Metazoa; Chordata; Mammalia; Artiodactyla; Physeteridae
Exons: 3
Source: RefSeq, a predicted model, not a curated record